Molecule: transfer RNA, 87 nt
Filed under: Cordylochernes scorpioides
Lineage: Eukaryota; Metazoa; Arthropoda; Arachnida; Pseudoscorpiones; Chernetidae
Description: tRNA-Tyr
Source: RNAcentral
UCCUUCGAGCCGGAUUUGAACCAGCGACCUAAGGAUCACCGUUGUAACAUCUACAGUCCUCUGCUCUCCCAACUGAGCUAUCGAGAG